This 487-nucleotide ribosomal RNA is filed under the name uncultured bacterium. RNAcentral's name for it is "bacterial SSU rRNA". It matches the Rfam family "Bacterial small subunit ribosomal RNA", at positions 68 to 547 of the family's 1533-position model. The record is from RNAcentral.
AGCAUGGUCUUAGCUUGCUAAGGCCGAUGGCGACCGGCGCACGGGUGAGUAACACGUAUCCAACCUGCCGUCUACUCUUGGACAGCCUUCUGAAAGGAAGAUCAAUACAAGAUGGCAUCAUGAGUCCGCAUGUUCACAUGAUUAAAGGUAUUCCGGUAGACGAUGGGGAUGCGUUCCAUUAGAUAGUAGGCGGGGUAACGGCCCACCUAGUCUUCGAUGGAUAGGGGUUCUGAGAGGAAGGUCCCCCACAUUGGAACUGAGACACGGUCCAAACUCCUACGGGAGGCAGCAGUGAGGAAUAUUGGUCAAUGGGCGAGAGCCUGAACCAGCCAAGUAGCGUGAAGGAUGACUGCCCUAUGGGUUGUAAACUUCUUUUAUAAAGGAAUAAAGUCGGGUAUGGAUACCCGUUUGCAUGUACUUUAUGAAUAAGGAUCGGCUAACUCCGUGCCAGCAGCCGCGGUAAUACGGAGGAUCCGAGCGUUAUCCG